GAUGAACGCUGGCGGCGUGCCUAAUACAUGCAAGUCGAGCGAACAGACGAGGAGCUUGCUCCUCUGACGUUAGCGGCGGACGGGUGAGUAACACGUGGAUAACCUACCUAUAAGACUGGGAUAACUUCGGGAAACCGGAGCUAAUACCGGAUAAUAUAUUGAACCGCAUGGUUCAAUAGUGAAAGACGGUUUUGCUGUCACUUAUAGAUGGAUCCGCGCCGCAUUAGCUAGUUGGUAAGGUAACGGCUUACCAAGGCAACGAUGCGUAGCCGACCUGAGAGGGUGAUCGGCCACACUGGAACGGAGACACGGUCCAGACUCCUACGGGAGGCAGCAGUAGGGAAUCUUCUGCAAUGGGCGAAAGCCUGACGGAGCAACGCCGCGUGAGUGAUGAAGGUCUUCGGAUCGUAAAACUCUGUUAUUAGGGAAGAACAAAUGUGUAAGUAACUAUGCACGUCUUGACGGUACCUAAUCAGAAAGCCACGGCUAACUACGUG
This 497-nucleotide ribosomal RNA is filed under the name uncultured bacterium. RNAcentral's name for it is "partial 16S ribosomal RNA". It matches the Rfam family "Bacterial small subunit ribosomal RNA", at positions 28 to 507 of the family's 1533-position model. The record is from RNAcentral.